Solenopsis invicta (red fire ant) is the source of this 124-nucleotide non-coding RNA. The record is from Rfam. NCBI's taxonomy places the organism in Eukaryota, Metazoa, Arthropoda, Insecta, Hymenoptera, Formicidae.
CUCGUCCUUGUCUUUGGGGAGCAAAGUGCUCAAUGAUCGUUUAGUGAGAGUGCUGUUGCUGAAACCCGAAUUAAGAUUUUUACCCCGCAUCCGUAUUUACAUACGAGAUGCAAUUUUUGAAAGG